GAUGAACGCUAGCGGCAGUCCUAAUACAUGCAAGUCGAACGGGAUCUGAGGGUAGCUUGCUACCCGAUUUGAGAGUGGCGCACGGGUGCGUAACGCGUGAGCAACCUACCCAUAUCAGGGGGAUAGCCCGAAGAAAUUCGGAUUAACACCGCAUAAUAAUACGCUAACACAUGUUGAUGUAUUUACAUAUUUAUAGGAUAUGGAUGGGCUCGCGUGACAUUAGCUAGUUGGUAAGGUAACGGCUUACCAAGGCGACGAUGUCUAGGGGCUCUGAGAGCAGAAGCCCCACACUGGAGCUAAGACACGGACCGACCUCCUACACGAGGCAGCAGUAAGGAAUAUUAGUCAAUGGGCGCAAGCCUGAACCAGCCAUGCCGCGUGCAGGAUGCCUGCCCUAUGGGUUGUAAACUGCUUUUGUUAGGGAAUAAACCUUCUUACGUGUAAGGAGCUGAAUGUACCUAAAGAAUAAGGAUCGGCUAACUCCGUGCCAGCCGCCGCAGUAA
RNAcentral lists this ribosomal RNA (503 nucleotides) under uncultured bacterium. RNAcentral's name for it is "partial 16S ribosomal RNA". It matches the Rfam family "Bacterial small subunit ribosomal RNA", at positions 28 to 523 of the family's 1533-position model. The record is from RNAcentral.